RNAcentral lists this unclassified non-coding RNA (209 nucleotides) under Hevea brasiliensis (rubber tree). The record is from RNAcentral. Lineage: Eukaryota; Viridiplantae; Streptophyta; Magnoliopsida; Malpighiales; Euphorbiaceae.
GGUGGAGAGUAUUGGGAGAAAAUCACGAUUAACAGCUCCAAGCCGUUUAUUACGUUUUAUGGGGAUCCAGGGGAUAUGCCCAAGAUUGUGUUUAACGGGACGGCGUCGCAGUAUGGCACGGUCUACAGCGCCACCGUGGCCGUAGAGAGCAAUUACUUUAUGGCCGUGAAUGUGGCGUUUGUGAAUGCAGCUCCAAUGCCAGAUGUGAA